This is a long non-coding RNA of Pan paniscus (pygmy chimpanzee), 561 nucleotides long. The record is from Ensembl. Lineage: Eukaryota; Metazoa; Chordata; Mammalia; Primates; Hominidae.
ACAUCAAUCAUCCAAACAUUGUAGGGACCUGUCCCAUGUUCUUUGUCAUUCCCAGUAUGAGAUGGAGACAUUUUAUAACACCCUCAGUCACUCUGAAGACAAGGAAUAGGAAGAAACAGACUUGGAGUAGAACACACUGCCAACCAAGUGUCUCCUUUUCCAUUUGGCAACCAGGAACUUGUGGCCAGAGGUGGGAGGCACCUGGGCAUCAGCUUCCACCAAGAAUAACAUAAAAGACGUUACUGUUUCAGCAAAUAAAUUAACAUCAUCAUGAAUUUGUGAUUCAUUAUUAUGAAUCACAAAUGUUGCAAAUUCGUGACCAUAUUCAGAGAUUGAGUGUCUCAGAGGGAAUAUUGCAGAAAUCGCAGCCAGGCUGUGCAAAACUGUGGGAUGACUGAGCAGUGGACUUGCACUCUAAAACAGCCCUUCUCCCUUCCUCUGCCCCUGCUCCUUUCCCCAGCCCCUGCUCCCUUCCCCAGCCCCUGCUCCCUUCCCCAGCCCCCGCUCAGGUUGGAUUUCCAUUGACACUUCAAGCCUGGAUGUAAUAAAUCAACUGCUGGU